This is a small nucleolar RNA of Rhinopithecus bieti (black snub-nosed monkey), 72 nucleotides long. The record is from Ensembl. NCBI's taxonomy places the organism in Eukaryota, Metazoa, Chordata, Mammalia, Primates, Cercopithecidae.
UGGAUUGUUGAUGACUACUGGUGGCAUAUGAGUCAUCUACAAUGAAUAUGUCUCUGGAACUCUGAGGUGUGU